This 450-nucleotide ribosomal RNA is filed under the name uncultured Glomus. Its description in RNAcentral is "partial 18S ribosomal RNA". Lineage: Eukaryota; Fungi; Glomeromycota; Glomeromycetes; Glomerales; Glomeraceae. The record is from RNAcentral.
UCCCUAGUCGGCAUAGUUUAUGGUUAAGACUACGACGGUAUCUGAUCGUCUUCGAUCCCCUAACUUUCGUUCUUGAUUAAUGAAAACAUCCUUGGCAAAUGCUUUCGCAGUAGUUAGUCUUCAAUAAAUCCAAGGAUUUCACCUCUGACAAUUGAAUACUAAUGCCCCCAACUAUCCCUAUUAAUCAUUACGUCAAUCCUAGAAACCAACAAAAUAGGGUCAACGUCCUAUUUCAUUAUUCCAUGCUAAUGUAUUCAAGCCUAAGCCUGCUUUAAACACUCUAAUUUUUUCAAAGUAACAGUCCUGAUUUCCUGCAACACCAAAUUAAUGACAUUACAGUUCGUCAAGAGGGAGGAAUCAGUGAGAUCAGUACAUACCAGAGGCAUGACCAACCUACUAACCCCGAAAUUCAACUACGAGCUUUUUAACUGCAACAACUUUAAUAUACGC